CUCUCUUUGUGAUUUAUAUAUAAAGAGUUGGGCCUGCUCGGUGAAUAGUUUUUUAACAGCUGCGGUAUUUUAACUGUACUAAGGUAGCAUAAUAAUUUGCCUUAUAAUUUGAGGCUAGAAUGAAUGGUUUGACGAAGGUUAAUCUGUCUCUAUCUUACUUUUUAGAAUUUAAUUUUGAUAGUGAAAAAGCUUCAAUUUUUUAAAGGGACGAGAAGACCCUAUUGAGCUUAUAAUUUUAUUAUUAUUAUUAUUAUUAUUAUAAUAAUAAUAUAUAAAUUUUAGUUGGGGUGAUUAAGGAAUAAUAUAUUUAUAAUAACUUCCUUAGAUUAAAUAUUAAUAGAUUAAGUAACCAAUAUAUUAUUGCUUUUAUAAUAGUUACCAUAGGGAUAACAGCGUAAUUUGUUUAGAGAGUUCUUAUUGAAAAAUGAGAUUGCGACCUCGAUGUUGGAUUAAAGUAACCUCAAGGUGAAGAAGCUUUGUAUGGUAAAUCUGUUCGAUUUUUAAAACUUUACA
The sequence is a ribosomal RNA, 513 nucleotides long. It matches the Rfam family "Bacterial large subunit ribosomal RNA", at positions 1817 to 2600 of the family's 2925-position model.